RNAcentral lists this ribosomal RNA (518 nucleotides) under Sticta latifrons. RNAcentral's name for it is "partial large subunit ribosomal RNA". It matches the Rfam family "Eukaryotic large subunit ribosomal RNA", at positions 83 to 603 of the family's 3401-position model. The record is from RNAcentral. Lineage: Eukaryota; Fungi; Ascomycota; Lecanoromycetes; Peltigerales; Lobariaceae.
GUAACGGCGAGUGAAGCGGCAACAGCUCAAAUUUGAAAUCUGGCCUCCUCGGGGUCCGAGUUGUAAUUUGUAGAGGGUGUUUCGGGCGCGAUGCCGGUCUAAGUUCCUUGGAACAGGACGUCGUAGAGGGUGAGAAUCCCGUAUGCGACCGGCGAUCAAGCCUGUGUGAAGCCCCUUCGACGAGUCGAGUUGUUUGGGAAUGCAGCUCAAAAUGGGUGGUAAAUUUCAUCUAAAGCUAAAUAUUGGCCAGAGACCGAUAGCGGACAAGUAGAGUGAUCGAAAGAUGAAAAGCACUUUGGAAAGAGAGUCAAACAGUACGUGAAAUUGUUGAAAGGGAAGCGCUUGCAAUCAGACCGGUCCGGAGGUGAUCAGCCGCUGCUCGUCAGCGGUGCACUCGCCUGCGAUCCGGCCAGCAUCGGUUUGGGCGGUGGGAUAAAAGUCCCGGGAAUGUAGCUUCCUUCGGGGAGUCUUAUAGCCCGGGUCGCAAUGCCGCCCGCCUGGACCGAGGACCGCGCUUC